UACGGCUUUUCUUUUGUUCUUUGGUGCCUGCCAGGGUUAGGUGUGGCGGCCGGCGAGCGGCGCUGGCGGUGGCGGAGGGGAGGUGGCCCUCGCCCUCGCCCUCGCUCGCCUCUAGGGCGGGGGCGGGGCGACCUGCCUGUCAACUAUGUCGGUCGAUACCUAUUAUAGUGAGUCUAAGAUUUUCUACGAGUCCUAGGCCUAUUGUUGUAUUCCGAUCAUCGUCUUACGUUUGAGUUCGUCGAGGUCCUCGCAUUAGCAGGGUUGAAGGAGGACAGUAAUAGUCGUCUCGAGAGCUCACUACGUUCAGGCGGGCUCACGUCUACGGAACGACCGUAAUACGACUUCUUAAGACACCUUCCUUUCAUAAGACUUCUAUUGUCGUAGGAGUAGCUUGUUACCUUGUUGGACCUAGUUACAUAGUUUAGGGUCUAAUUCCUCAGUAACGACUAUUGUGAUCCUAGAAACCGAGGAGUCCGCUCCGUACGGAGUAGUGUCUAAUAACCGUCCGAACGUAUAUAACUCUAUGGGAGGGUCCCCACCGUUCUGGAGUAACCGUCUAAUGACGUGUUGUACCGUGGCGUCCCACGAAGAGGACGAUGUGAUUUCGUUCGUUGAGAUCUCCGCGACCUCGUACACAAACUCCUCUUCUGGAACUCCAAGCUCUUUCUGUGUUAAUUACCACAAGACCUACGGCAGUAGGCCCGUUACUUGGUGGUCCGUCUCUUUUCAAAAGUUCAGGCACAACGCCGCCAAUUUCGAGAUGUCUUACAAGUAUUCAAACGACUGAAACGUUCACUACUACUAACGUCUUUAGCAUAUUACUGACGUUAUAGACUACGUCGAUUUAGGCUACUUCGUCACCUCCAGUUCGUACGUCGUAAGCCGACGGAAUGACGUUAGCGUAGGUUUAUAAUAUACCUCAAUCUUGGAAUGUACCUUUGGUGUGAGUCGGAAUGUUGACUUCGAAACCCGAACCUUCCUCCACACCUGCUUUGUCGACACGAGCUUACAUAGCUCAAGACCUCGUGAUAAACAUCUUUUCACUAAUUUGAGGCUCUUUUUUCUUUUGCGAAAGGAGCACAAUAUAACUGGCGUCUAACAGUGAAGGAACUCUUAGGGGAAACAAGUGAACAAGGUGAAGACGAUGUUUGAGACAGCAAUGUGGUUCUUUCUCUACAACUACUUGACUUGUAGAAGUACUCACGAUACUGUACGGAUCCGGAGCAGCGAUCUUGAUAGCCCCUACGUCAACAGGGUAAACGUUCCGUCAAAUAGCUCCCAUUGUAGUUUCACCGUCUAACCGCAUCAGCGUUCUGUCGAUAAAGACAUGAUCCGCAAUAGGAACUUCCCGGAAGAUAACUUUUUGAGCGAGGACACCAGCCAAACAACUACCUGUUCUACCUUCUGGGUGUGUACCUCUAUUCUCCGUGGCGAUGUACGUGAGAACCCGUCCACAAACUCGAAGACGUAAGAGGUCGAGAACUAUUUUCUAAAAAGUGUUUACUUCUGAAAGGAGCGUAGUACCGACGCAAUAGUUUCUCCCCAUUUCUACAAGGUCUUCACAGGUUCCUUCAGACACUUCGAUAUAUAAAAGAACGGGCUCCAAUACUACACGGUUAGAGUAGACUCCAUCUGGUAAGUUUUUUCUUUUAGAGUAGACUUGAAAGUGGAAAAGAAUCACCACAAUAGCUACGAUAGGAAAGACGAAGCCUUGAACUAUUCUUCUGGGGAAAGCCCGAAGGACGUAGACGUAGACGAAUACCGCGUAACUAACUCUAACACUCUCAUUCGUUGUAUACCCUAAAACUUCGACAUUAUCGAUAAUACCUAAACUACGGAGCAUAGUACGCUUCUAAUUUGUGUCGCGAACUACGGUUUCGUUAAAGUAGUCUACUGUUCUGAUUGUCCGUUUUAGAAGUCCGCAACGACACACUGCAUGACGUACGGUAUUAGCUCUUUGACCCGUUAAGCGAAGUGCGCCUGUUCCAAUCCCUCAGACGAGUCAGAUACAGCGAAGUCAAAACGGCACAGGACUGGACGCUGACAAGAUGGCGUGCACUAUUUCGUCGCGAACGACAACCACGAGACCGAGCACGGCAGCCAGGUUUCAAAGACCUAGUGUACGGUUAUAAAAACGUCAUAAUGUCGCACUUCGAUAAGAGGGGAUAGAUAAAUCUCCACUAACCAUGAUAGAAAGUACAGAACCCUCUACUUUAGGACGGUACGACACUACUAUACUACCUACAAGAAAUGCUUCCAGAGAGUUUUGGAUUCGAAUUUGGAGUUUAAAACCGUACGAAACCUCUCUAGCGAGAACGAUAGCCGUUCGUAAAACUCCUCAUGGUGGACGUCCGACAAUCCUUUUUCGACUUUCUUCGACGAUUGGGUUCUAUAAUACGGUUACAAAGACUACUCCUAUUCCAACUAAUGCCAUUGGUCGAAUCUGUCCCUUAUACGUUCCGAAUGAGACCGUAUAACGCCCCAUAUUUCCUGGUUUUUAGACCCAACUUCCAUCGUCGCCUAGAUCAACUCAAGUAACUUCGACAGAGACUCCUGCUCUCGUCCCUACGUUCCCACUGUAGGCGACGUCAACUACACAACCUAGUCAAACCAAAGUACCGCCUCAGUACCUUUUUCCCUGACUAAAGCCUUAAUCCCUCCAUUGUAUAUUCUCCUCCUUGAGCAAGACGAAGAAAAAACCGUUCAACGGUGUCUACGUACCUUCCUGUCGUUGUACACACACAGCAACCAUCAUACUACUACAUAAAACCACCGUUAACCUACCUGUCGGUUUGACUUGAGCAGAUCAUCAGCCGCAUACAGAUAAACGAUCGACAACAGCAACUCGAACGUCUAAUACAUACUAAUUGGUUAGGACUUAAGGACGAACACUAACCAUCCCACACGACAGUUCUGGUCAACAACCACCUCGACUAAUUGGUUAGGACUUAAGGACGAACACUAACCAUCCCACACGACAGUUCUGGUCAACAACCACCUCGACAGACACGACAACCGUACGCACUUGGUAUAUAUAAUGAGGGUGGCAAGGAUUUAUAUUCAGAAAAAUCUCUAAAGUUAUGCUUGAUGUAUACCUCG
RNAcentral lists this ribosomal RNA (3099 nucleotides) under Triticum aestivum (bread wheat). RNAcentral describes it as "partial small subunit ribosomal RNA". Lineage: Eukaryota; Viridiplantae; Streptophyta; Magnoliopsida; Poales; Poaceae. The record is from RNAcentral.